CAGUAGCCGCGGGAAUACAGAGGGUGCGAGCGUUAAUCGGAAUUACUGGGCGUAAAGCGCGCGUAGACGGUUUUGUAAGUCAGAUGUGAAAUCCCUGGGCUCAACCUGGGAACUGCAUUUGAUACUGCAUGGCUAGAGUAUCGAAGAGGGAAGUGGAAUUUCCGGUGUAGCGGUGAAAUGCGUAGAUAUCGGAAGGAGCACCAGUGGCGAAAGCGACUUCCUGGUCGAAUACUGACGUUCAUGUGCGAAAGCGUGGGGAGCAAACAGGAUUAGAUACCCGCGUAGUCCCUGUCUCUUAUAC
RNAcentral lists this ribosomal RNA (301 nucleotides) under uncultured bacterium. Its description in RNAcentral is "partial 16S ribosomal RNA". It matches the Rfam family "Bacterial small subunit ribosomal RNA", at positions 509 to 807 of the family's 1533-position model. The record is from RNAcentral.